This 76-nucleotide transfer RNA is filed under the name Alphaproteobacteria bacterium. RNAcentral's name for it is "tRNA-Glu". It matches the Rfam family "tRNA". From Rfam's summary of the family: Transfer RNA (tRNA) molecules are approximately 80 nucleotides in length. Their secondary structure includes four short double-helical elements and three loops (D, anti-codon, and T loops). The record is from RNAcentral. Lineage: Bacteria; Pseudomonadati; Pseudomonadota; Alphaproteobacteria.
GACCCCAUCGUCUAGUGGUCUAGGACGACGCCCUUUCACGGCGUAAACACGAGUUCGAACCUCGUUGGGGUCGCCA